UACGUAGGCAGCGAGCGUUGUUCGGAGUUACUGGGCGUAAAGGGUGUGUAGGCGGUUCUUUAAGUUUGGUGUGAAAUCUCCCGGCUCAACCGGGAGGGUGCGCCGAAUACUGAGGGACUUCGAGUGCGGGAGAGGAAAGUGGAAUUCCUGGUGUAGCGGUGAAAUGCGUAGAUAUUGGAAGGAACACCAGUGGCGAAGGCGACUAUCUGGACAGAUACUGACACUGAGACACGAAAGCGUGGGGAGCAAACAGG
This 254-nucleotide ribosomal RNA is filed under the name uncultured bacterium. RNAcentral's name for it is "partial 16S ribosomal RNA". It matches the Rfam family "Bacterial small subunit ribosomal RNA", at positions 524 to 776 of the family's 1533-position model. The record is from RNAcentral.